Non-coding RNA from Prunus mume (Japanese apricot), 2342 nucleotides. The record is from RefSeq and is a predicted model, not a curated record. Lineage: Eukaryota; Viridiplantae; Streptophyta; Magnoliopsida; Rosales; Rosaceae.
UCUGCCUUUUAUGCCCCUCACCUCAAUGGGUAACUGAUACUCACUAACUUUGCUGCUUAUGCCUCUAAACAUUGUAUUUGCUUAUCUAGAAGAAACAUUUGCUUGAGUUUAUUUUUGUUGGCAUUCAUAUGCUAGACUUCUGAUAAAGCUGUUUAACACUACAUAUCUUUGAACCAAGGUAUAGAAGCUCAUAUUUUAAUUGUUUUCAAAUCAGUGUGUGGAGCAGGGGUUUGACCCAUGUUCCGUAGGUCGAAUUUUGUUGAAAUACAGAUUUCUAGUACCAAUCCUCUGAAUAUCAGUUAUUCUAGCUCCAGCAAAAUGGUUGCUAAAAUAUUUAAUGAAUUUGUUAAAACUAGUACUUCUGUUGCAGGGUGGUGCUCCAUUGGUUCUUGUUGUGUUCACAGGUAACUGUUUUUAAGCAGUUUGGAAGAAAAUUAACUGCUCUUAAUGAUAGGUUGAUUGGUAUCAAAGUAGGUGAUGUCUGAUAAGGCUCAAGAAUUUUGGGUUACCUAUAUUCCCAUCCAUUUGGUUUGUAAUGCAUGUUCAUGUAAUAGUUGCCUUUCUCCAGCUAUGUGAGGGAAGGACUUGUCCUUGGCCAACUCCUGGGAAAUCAAUUUACUGUAACAUUGAGAGGAGUUGUUGCAGAUUCUGAAGAUACGAUUAAAACAUCUGCAAUUGCCUUCGGAAAGCAAGGAUUUAUUAACUACUUUGGUUUACAAGUACUCUCUCUCUCUCCCCACACCCCCCCUGAUUAUUUGUGUUGUUUCUUAUACUAUUUAUUUGCAUAAUCGUGUACUUAAAAGGCUAGAUGUUAUUGACAUUGUUUAUCUUGUUCCUUUUUUUUGCAAUAAGAGGUUUCUUGUUCUUACAAUUGCAAUGAUACUACAAAGCUAUUAAAAGACGACAGUUCUGUUGCAAAAGACUAGCUGGUCUUUUUUUACCCAGAAGAUUUCUUUUGAAAAAAAAGAUGGUUUUUCGAAUAUGCGAUGGAUUAAAGUUUUUCGAAUAUGCGAUGGAUUAAAGUUUGCUUGAUGGUUUAUCAAACUGCAUUCUGAUUUCAGCGGUUGGCAACUGGUUCUCUGCCAACUUACCUCCUUGGAGCUGUAGUACUCAGAGAAGAGUGGAAAUCUACUCUGAGCGUGAUUCUUGAUCCAAGAGAAGAGGAUAUACUUUUAAUGUUUUCAUGUGUUGUGACUUGUGAGGAUACUUUUUCUUUUCUUUAUGUACUUGAUUACUUCUAAAUAAAGUAGUUUAUUGCAUGCUGAUGUAGUGCAGCAUUAGUAUUUAUUUUGUGGAACUUACUCUUUUAUUACCAAAAAAAUCCGAUUACUGUGGCAAAAGAAUAAACUAAUGAUAUUGAAGGGACCCUGAGGCAGUUACCCCGACAUUUGGUUGCUGAAAGAGUUAUAGUGCAAGGUCUGAAGAAAUGUCCUGGGAACUACUUGCAGGCUUUGAAAGCUAUUACUAGAACUUUGAGGAUGAUGGGUAUAUGCUUCUUGUUUCAUGAGGGGUGCGCUCAGGAGCUUGGCAGUGAAGAUUUCUCUUUGAGGAAACAGGUCUUUUUCAUAUCAUUCAGUUUUAAGAUAUGAAGAGUAGUGUUACUUGUCGUUAUCUUAUGGAUCUCUAUAUUUGCACCAAGGCUAUCGUUGUUUGACAAUUGUGACUGUGUACUGGUUUGUUGACUGUGACCAUCUUUUACAUUCCGGAUUUCAGUAAUUUAUUAUUUUUUGGGUUUUCUGGCCGUCCAAUGCUAAAAUAAGAAAAGAAAAGAAAAGCUAUAAUUCCUCAUACUGUAUAACUUGCAGCAGCGAGAAUAAUUUUGAUGAGGGGAGCCCUGUUUCUGUUGCAUUGCUUUGAUUAGGGAUAUCUGGUCUAAUCAUUUUGCAACUACGCUUCCCAUACUGCUGAAAGUUUCAACGAUCCAGGCAAGCCUUGUGCAGUGCCCUUGAAGAUGAACCUGAGUUUCAUGGAAUGGUAUGCUUGAGCUUGCAAGAGUCUUGUACAACAAAAUAAGAAAAUUGUGGAAGAAGUGAAUGAUCUGUCUGAUAGUGAAGUACAUAGUGCCAGACAGAGACUUAGGUUACAGUAGAUAACUUAAGCGUGCUCAUGUCAUCUGCUCGCCAGUUACUAACAAGUGUUUUCUUGAAUACCACAAAAGAUGAUGCAGGCUGUUUAAGCACACUGAGGUUGUAUGUCUGAUAGUCUUUGUCCUGCAAAAUGCUUGAAUUGGCAUGUAUUUUAAAAUAGUCAUGAAUUUGUGAGUUUGCUAAAUACAGCUCCAAUAAGAAUGAUGCAUAUCGUUGUUAAAACCAAAAAGACACAAUCUUGUAUUCGAGAAAGAG